This 490-nucleotide ribosomal RNA is filed under the name uncultured bacterium. Its description in RNAcentral is "partial 16S ribosomal RNA". It matches the Rfam family "Bacterial small subunit ribosomal RNA", at positions 30 to 507 of the family's 1533-position model. The record is from RNAcentral.
AUUGAACGCUGGCGGCAGGCCUAACACAUGCGAGUCGAACGGUAACAGGAAGCAGCUUGCUGCUUUGCUGACGAGUGGCGGACGGGUGAGUAAUGUCUGGGAAACUGCCCGAUGGAGGGGGAUAACUACUGGAAACGGUAGCUAAUACCGCAUAACGUCGCAAGAACAAAGAGGGGGACCUUAGGGCCUCUUGCCAUCGGCUGUGCCCAGAUGGGAUUAGCGAGAAGGUGGGGUAAGGGCACACCUAGGCGAAGAUCCCUAUCUGGUCUGAGAGGAUGACCAGCCACACUGGAGCUGAGAAACGGUCCAGACUCCUACGGGAGGCAGCAGUGGGGAAUAUUGCACAAUGGGCGCAAGCCUGAUGCAGCCAUGCCGCGUGUAUGAAGAAGGCCUUCGGGUUGUAAAGUACUUUCAGCGGGGAGGAAGGGAGUAAAGUUAAUACCUUUGCUCAUUGACGUUACCCGCAGAAGAAGCACCGGCUAACUCCGUG